This 72-nucleotide transfer RNA is filed under the name Porphyromonas gingivalis W83. It matches the Rfam family "tRNA". From Rfam's summary of the family: Transfer RNA (tRNA) molecules are approximately 80 nucleotides in length. The record is from Rfam by way of RNAcentral. Lineage: Bacteria; Pseudomonadati; Bacteroidota; Bacteroidia; Bacteroidales; Porphyromonadaceae.
GGCUCUGUAGUUCAAUGGAUAGAAUAGUGGUUUCCUAAACCAUAGAUUCGGGUUCGAUUCCCGACGGAGCUA